AUGGCCUUAGUUCGAAAGUAUGGCAAGCCGGACGUCUUCCUCACAAUGACAUGCAACCCAAACUGGGAUGAGAUUAAGCAGGAACUCUACCCCGGUCAAACACCUCAGGAUCGUCCAGAUCUCGUUGUUCGUGUUUUUAGGGCAAAGUUGGAGGAACUCAAGAAUAAGUUGCUUCAAAAGGACCUCCUGGGCAAGGUGAGGGCUUAUGUUUAUGUGGCGGAAUUCCAGAAGGGGGUCUGCCUCAUGCCCACUUCCUUCUCAUCAUGGAGGGGCGGUACUGUCACGCCCAAUAUGCGACCCUAUCCAAAAGGAACUCGAAGGUCCCACCACGGAUAG
RNAcentral lists this ribosomal RNA (336 nucleotides) under Triticum aestivum (bread wheat). Its description in RNAcentral is "partial small subunit ribosomal RNA". The record is from RNAcentral. Lineage: Eukaryota; Viridiplantae; Streptophyta; Magnoliopsida; Poales; Poaceae.